Molecule: ribosomal RNA, 158 nt
Filed under: uncultured Bacillota bacterium
Lineage: Bacteria; Bacillati; Bacillota
Description: uncultured Firmicutes bacterium partial 16S rRNA
Rfam family: Bacterial small subunit ribosomal RNA
Source: RNAcentral
UGGGGAAUCUUCCGCAAUGGACGAAAGUCUGACGGAGCAACGCCGCGUGAGUGAAGAAGGUUUUCGGAUCGUAAAGCUCUGUCUUCGAGGACGAAUGUGCCUUAUGUGAAUAAUGUUAUGUGUAAUGACGGUACUCGAGGUAGGAAGCCACGGCUAAC